Molecule: long non-coding RNA, 3603 nt
Organism: Mustela putorius furo (domestic ferret)
Lineage: Eukaryota; Metazoa; Chordata; Mammalia; Carnivora; Mustelidae
Source: Ensembl
CAUCCUUUUGGCCUUUCUCUAAUGCAUUCUGAAUAUUUUCUCCUGAUUUAUAUUCCAAGUUCCCUGGUCGAAUCUUUGGCUAUCUCCGCUCUACUGUUAAACUGUGUGUUGGAUUCUCCAUCAUGGUUACUGUAUAUAUAUAUAUUUUUAGUUUUAGACUUUCUACUUGAUACUCUUUCAAAUCAAAGUCACCUUUUCUGAGUUCCCACUUCCCAGCUGAAAUUUCCAAGCUCUACGUUUUUCUCUUUUCAGACAGAAAACAUGGUUUAGGAGUCUGCACCCAAUACUUUCACCAUCCUAAGUCCAUACGUCUUUGUGGGUUUGUUUUUGUUAUCAUUUCCCACAACCACUUCUCACUCACAGAGAACUUAACACUUGACAUUGCGUUCAAACUUUUUUGUUUUUGUAGAAAUAAUAUUUACUUGUUUCUGACAGUCUGGGACCACAGGAACUGAAGUUCCAGACUUGAGGUUCCCAGAGUCCCCCUCGUGCAAGCUGUCUCACACACCGGAGGCUCCCAGACUCCCCUGCGUGUUAGCAUCACCUGGGGAGCCUCCCAAUGGACCUCCACCUGUGUCCCGCCCCCAGGGAUGGGGACUUCAUUAGUCUGUGGUGCUGCCUGCAGUUGGGAAUUUUUAAAAGCUCCCCAGAGAUUCUAAUGGGCAGACAGACAUAUAUGGGAAGCUCUGCCCUGAGAGCAAAGUCCUUAAGCACCUGCACUUAACGUGCGGGUGUUUAUCAGGCUCUCCACCGGGCCGGCCCUUUUAUCUCUUUGGCCCAGACAGGCUGCCAAAUACCACAGCUCCAAGCUGCGGCCGUGGCUUCUCGAGCAGAGCAAAACCAGCUUUGGGAGCUUGCUUCUCGGAUUCUCCGAAAUGUUGGCAUCGUAAUCCAGCACGAUCUGAUCAGCUUUUUGGUGCUUUCAGGAAGAAAAAAAAAAUGUAUUUAUGUAUAUUUACAAAAGGGACUGCCCAGCUGCCGCUUUGGGACUCCACAGAGCAUGAACAACCGAGUCAUUGCCUGAGAUCCUGGACUAGCCUGAGAACAUGGGUCUGUAUUCAAGAUCCCCAAGUGCUGAUGGAGCCCUCUGGAGCUUGGAAAUCCAGGUUGACCACCUGCAAACAUGUUGGGAUGACUCUGAACUGCAAGAACAUCCCCUCGCUCACAAGAGCAUCGCGGACCGGUUCACGUCUCUCUGCCUCUUCGCGCUGUCACCCACGUCCCCAAGUUCAAGGCCCCAACCUCUCUAGCCUGCCAUUCUGUAAUAGUUCCCUGAUCUCCAUCUCUCCAGGCUUAGAUACUUGAAAUCCUUUCUCUACUCAGUGGUCAAAGUAACCCUUCUGAAUGUUAUCAGAUCAAAUGCCAGCUGGUUGCUGCUCCCCUUCCCCACCUCACGCCUCCUUAGAACCCUUGGAUGGCUUCCCAGUACACUUUGGCAUAAAAUCCCAAAUCCUUACCACAGUCCACACAGGCCUGCCUUAUGGAUACCUCCCUCCCACCACCCCAUGCCUGCUCAGCACCCAUGCACCUGCUUCUGACAGCUGCUUCUCCAGUUUUCGGUGGAGAAUUAUUCUCUCUCUGAUUCUUACCGCAAGCUGACUCCACUCCACUCCCUGUAUCGGGGGUCAUCAUGCAGUCAGCGUAUUCUUUUUCUAUGUCACAACGAUUGGCCCAGAGAGGAAUCACAUCUCCUGAGCUGAUCCAGUAAGACUGAAGCCCAGGUCUUCUUGCUGCAACCGUGGGGAUUGCUGGCUGCAAAGGCAGUGAACACCGGGGGCUUUGGGAACUCGUCUAGACAGAGUGUCAAGCGUGCAAGGCCUGUUGACUCUUUCUGAACCCAGUUCAGUCCCAUGCCGUGCCUCUACUUUUCAGCUGAGCCAGUACAUUCCCCGUUUAAGUUGGGUUUCCAGGCUCGCUUCUCCUACAGGGUUGGAUUCCUGCCUGGACUUACGUCUUAUCACAAACCUUUCUUGUCUCUGUGCUCAGCCUCGGACCAGAGACACAUGAAACCCUCUCUCACUUCAAUGUCCUGGCCUUGUGUCCAUGUUGCUUAGAAUUAUCUUCCUCACAUUUUUAAGAGGCUAGCAUACUCUCAUUUCUUCUAAUCCUCUCCUCCUUCUUCCUCUUCUCUUUUUAUUUUUGGGGGCAGAGGGAGAGAGAGAGAGAGAGAGAGAGAAGCAGACUCCCCAUGGAGCACAGAGCCCAUCAACGUGGGACUCGAUCUCAAGACCCUGAGAUCAUGACCUGAGCUGAAAUCAACAACCAGAUGCUCAACCAACUGAGCCACCCGGGCACCCUACAAACUCUCAUUUCUUAGGUCCACACUCAGAUAUCACCUCCUUAAAGAGCCCUUCCAAAACGACCCAUCUAAGUAGAAGAGGCUCCUUCAGUUCCAUUUGUCAGGUCCCCUGGCUUCGUUUCGGGCAAUGAUCAGAACCUGUAUCUCACACUUUACCUCUCCCUGUACUUGUUUAUCUUCUGGCUCCCUCCAUUAAAAUAUUAGCUUUAUAUGGGCUAAGAUCUGCCUGUCUCGCUCAGCAUGUCCCCCAGGAUCUAGCUAGCUCAGGGUCUCAGAUGCCGUACAUGCUUUGUAAGUGUUGGUUCAGCGUGUGAAUGAGGAAAUGCACGCAUGCAUGCUUGACUCUCUGUAGAGGGAGUCCACUGUAAAAGGUCUUGCUUCCUUGGCCUUGCCAGCAGGGCUCUUACAGGCACCACCAGUAAUAAAGUCGUAGCAGCAACAGCAGACAUGGGGAUCAGGCUCGCUUUGUGCUGGGACUUCUUCUAGGUGUUUUGGACAGCUUAGCGCAUUUCCUUCCCGCAGCCACUGGGGUAGACUAAUGAAAGCCACAGGUUCUUUGAUACUCCUCUCUUUGAGAACUGAGGUUAAGGCCCCUUCCCUCCUGUUGAAUCUGGACGGCUCUAGGGCUGCUGUAACCAGCAGAAUACGGCAGAAGUGAUGACCUGUCAGUUUGGAACUGGAUUUGGGAACUGUUGCUCUGAGGCACCCACUCUAGGGAAAGCCAGACCCAGGUAAGAAGUUUGUGCUGGAGAAAUUACGGGGCGGGGACGCAAUGCUCCCUGAAGAGAGAUAGAGGGACCAGCAGACCCUGAGAACCUUCGCUCUCAGGUUGUCCCCUCUGCAACAUGGCACCCUCUGUGUGCGACUCUCAUCUCCUCCAGGACUCUUUCCAUGGUGUCUCUGCCCCUGGGUUGAGUUGAGUGCCCCUUCUGUGCUGGUGCAGGGUGUCCUUCUGUGGUGCAAAUGGAGAUGUUGACAUGGCUGGGUCCCUACUGGUCUGUAGGCUUCAUGAGGACAAAGACUGUGUCUUCUUCUUCUUCUUCUUCUUUUUUUUUUUUAAAGAUUUUACUUAUUUACUUGAGAGAAAGAGAGAGAGCAUCAGGGAGAGGGGGAAGCAGGUUCCCUACUAAACAGAGAGCCCCAUGCGGAACUCAGUCUCAGGACCCUGGGAUCAUGACCCAAGCCAAAGGCAGACGCUUGACCGACUGAGCCACCCAGGCACCCCAGACAGAGACUGUGUCUUACUUGUCUUUGUAGCUUCAGUGUUCAACGCAAGUCCUGGCCAGCUCAGUGUUGGUGCUCAG